This is a long non-coding RNA of Ornithorhynchus anatinus (platypus), 1439 nucleotides long. RefSeq lists it as uncharacterized. The transcript is spliced from 3 exons. NCBI's taxonomy places the organism in Eukaryota, Metazoa, Chordata, Mammalia, Monotremata, Ornithorhynchidae. The record is from RefSeq and is a predicted model, not a curated record.
GAAAGCCGAUCUCUGGCGAACUGACAGCAAUGCAUUUUUUCCUAUUGAAAACAGAAGCUACUGUACUGCUUUUGAAAUAUAUGCAAAUGAUACAUGCGGUUAGCGGUUUGGCAAAUCUUGAUUACAAUAUAAACUACCCAAGAAAAAAGUGCCUUCGUCCUAAAUUUGUCUCCCGAUUACAAUUCCAAUUGAUUUUAUUUUAUUGUCAACAUUGUUAAUGAUAAAAAUAGAGUCGUUUUACAGUUAUUUUUACUUUCUGGAAGGCGGCAAUUAGAGUUCUAAUCAGGAAUACACAAAAAUCUCCCAUGAUUAUCUGCAGUACUUUGUUCAAAUUGCAGCUAUAAAAUUCAGAACAAUUUGCCUGUAAUGAUUAUGGACUGGGUUUAUUUUGGGAGGUGGAAUAAAAGUGGAUAUAGCAUAAAUUAUCCUCUAAUUAUACACCAGUGUCGCCUCAAUUAUCCUCUUAUCAAAAUGGUUGUCUAACUGCCGCAUUUAUUUCGAUUCUCUCCUUUUUUCUAUAAAAAGAACCUCAUACCUUGUUAUUAUUAAUCCAUUUAUUAUUUGCAAGGGGAUUUAUAGCUGAACAUCCAGGUGCUAGAAACCACUUCUCGCUAAGAUGAACUGGGGAAAGGAUCGCCUAGAUCGCCUAGACCGCCUAGACUUUUGGAUCGCCUAGAGCUGGAGAAUCUGCCUUUUGGGUGUCUCUCUGUCUUUCUCUCUCUCUCUCUCUCCCCCUCUCUCCCUCUCCCUCUCUUACACUCUCUCCCUUUCUCUUUUCUCUUUCUCGUCUCCAAAUCCGCUCAGGUCCAGCAAGCAAAGCAUCUUCAACCAGAGCACGGCCGCCGAGACUCCCGAGUCGUUCGGGAUUCAGACUGGAGAAGUUUGCACCUGGGACCACGGGCGCUGUGGGGACUGCGAACACCGUGAGCACUGUGAGCACUGCAAGCACCAUAAGCACUGUGAGCACCCUUCCUUGAGCGCUGAAAGGGCGAGCACCAUCUGGGGGAAGCCUGUCUCCGUCCUCUGGAAUGAACUCCUCUUCGGGAUAUCCUCGCUGCCUCGGAACUCCUGGGAGAGGGAGAGAUCGAGGCGGGACUAGCCGACGCUGUCGAAGGGAAGGAAGAAGGCGUGGUGUUGUGAGGUUAUUGUUUCAAGAUUGGGAGCCCCUGGUGGGACAGGGAUUUGGGGCAACUUCGUUAGCUUAGAUCUACCCCAGCGCUUAGUACAGUGCCUGACACACAGUAAGGGCUUAACAAAUACUAUAAAAAACAGAAAAUACACAGCCGAAUGCUUUAAGAAUACCAUAAAACAAAAAAAAAAUUCACAGCCGAAUGCACCGACUUUCAAAAUGAAGGCACGGAUGGGCCGUCUUCAUUCAUUCAUUCGAUAGUAUUUAUUGAGCGCUAACUAUGUGCAGAGCACUGUACUAAACGCUUGGA